This is a long non-coding RNA of Drosophila montana, 608 nucleotides long. RefSeq lists it as uncharacterized. Lineage: Eukaryota; Metazoa; Arthropoda; Insecta; Diptera; Drosophilidae. The transcript is spliced from 2 exons. The record is from RefSeq and is a predicted model, not a curated record.
UGUUUUUAUUGCCUUCAUUCGCUCGUCGCUUUUGGCACUGCUGACAUAAAUUUCGUUGUUCACUUCGUUCUUUUUCUUUUUGUUGGGGGUAGUGACUCAUGUCUAAAAAAGAAAAAAAUUUUAACAAAAUUAAGAAGCGAAAAAAGCUGAAGAUAUUGUUCGGCGCUUAUUGUAUCUGUAUCUGUUAGAUACACAUGACACAUGCCGUCCAAGCACGUUUCUAGCGUAUUUGUAUCUUGAUGCAUGCCGAGCAAUUUGCACAGUUGAAGUGUGCCUAGACUGUGGAAAGACGACGUCAACGACGGUGCGCACGGUGUGCUCGGAUUACGGCGACGCAGUCCAAGCAUAACUGCACGUACUAUCUGCGAAAUAUGUAUAAAAUGAUUGGAAAUGGUUUCUAGCCUGUUGAGAAGUCGCCUUGGAAUGCUCUGCUCUCUAUUUGAGUGUUUUAGGGCGUUGUUUGCAAUUUAGAUGGAAGAGCAUCCGUAUUAGCUUGGCUUGGAAUGCAAAUAAAGCAAUGCUAAAAUGCAUUAUCAAUCGAACGCUUCAUCGAACGCUUCGCAAACAAAUUAAAUUUUAAAUUAAAAAACAAAAAAAAAAACACAAAA